RNAcentral lists this ribosomal RNA (278 nucleotides) under Staphylococcus sp. Its description in RNAcentral is "partial 16S ribosomal RNA". It matches the Rfam family "Bacterial small subunit ribosomal RNA", at positions 65 to 333 of the family's 1533-position model. The record is from RNAcentral. Lineage: Bacteria; Bacillati; Bacillota; Bacilli; Caryophanales; Staphylococcaceae.
AGCGACAGAUAAGGAGCUUGCUCCUUUGACGUUAGCGGCGGACGGGUGAGUAACACGUGGAUAACCUACCUAUAAGACUGGGAUAACUUCGGGAAACCGGAGCUAAUACCGGAUAACAUAUUGAACCGCAUGGUUCAAUAGUGAAAGGCGGCUUUGCUGUCACUUAUAGAUGGAUCCGCGCCGUAUUAGCUAGUUGGUAAGGUAACGGCUUACCAAGGCAACGAUACGUAGCCGACCUGAGAGGGUGAUCGGCCACACUGGAACUGAGACACGGUCCA